This 253-nucleotide ribosomal RNA is filed under the name uncultured bacterium. RNAcentral's name for it is "partial 16S ribosomal RNA". It matches the Rfam family "Bacterial small subunit ribosomal RNA", at positions 524 to 776 of the family's 1533-position model. The record is from RNAcentral.
UACAGAGGGGGCAAGCGUUGUUCGGAAUUACUGGGCGUAAAGGGCGCGUAGGCGGCCCGCUAAGUCGAACGUGAAAUCCCCGGGCUCAACCCGGGAACUGCGUCCGAUACUGGUGGGCUUGAGUGCGGGAGAGGAUGGUGGAAUUCCCAGUGUAGAGGUGAAAUUCGUAGAUAUUGGGAAGAACACCGGUGGCGAAGGCGGCCAUCUGGACCGCAACUGACGCUGAGGCGCGAAAGCGUGGGGAGCAAACAGG